GACGAACGCUGGCGGCGUGCCUAAUACAUGCAAGUAGAACGCUGAAGGAGGAGCUUGCUUCUCUGGAUGAGUUGCGCACGGGUGAGUAACGCGUAGGUAACCUGCCUGGUAGCGGGGGAUAACUCUUGGAAACGCUAGCUAAUACCGCAUAAUAGCAGUUGUUCCAUGACAACUGUUUGAAAGGUGCAAUUUCACCACUACCAGAUGGACCUGCCUUGUAUUAGCUAGUUGGUGGGGUAACGGCUCACCAAAGCGACGAUACAUAGCCGACCUGAGAGGGGGAUCGGGCAAACUGGGACUGAGACACGGCCCAGACUCCUACGGGAGGCAGCAGUAGGGAAUCUUCGGCAAUGGACGGAAGUCUGACCGAGCAACGCCGCGGGAGUGAAGAAGGUUUUCGGAUCGUAAAGCUCUGUUGUAAGAGAAGGAAGAGAGGGAGAGGGGAAAGUGCACACUGUGACGGUAUCUUACCAGAAAGGGACGGCUAACUACGUG
RNAcentral lists this ribosomal RNA (495 nucleotides) under uncultured bacterium. RNAcentral's name for it is "partial 16S ribosomal RNA". It matches the Rfam family "Bacterial small subunit ribosomal RNA", at positions 28 to 507 of the family's 1533-position model. The record is from RNAcentral.